Long non-coding RNA from Lolium rigidum, 546 nucleotides. RefSeq lists it as uncharacterized. The record is from RefSeq and is a predicted model, not a curated record. The transcript is spliced from 2 exons. NCBI's taxonomy places the organism in Eukaryota, Viridiplantae, Streptophyta, Magnoliopsida, Poales, Poaceae.
GCGUCGACACCAGCAGCCGAUGCGUCCAGGUUGGAGAGGUGGGGCGGCAGGGCUCCACGCAUGGCGGAGCGCGCAAUUCUCCUGGGGUCAUCGGAAGCUCGAGACGGCGUGGUAAGGGCCUCCGAGGAAAGCGACGCCGAUGAGACCCUGGACCUGGAGCUGCACCUCUAGCAAGCGUCGCCUACCUGCUAGUGCCAUCUUGCAAAGGGGCUGUCGUCCAUCAAUUUCAACACUGAAGCCGAAGAAAUUAAUCUGUGUCGGCGAUCGGAGUUGAUCAUAUAUACAGCGACGUCGGCUACUCUUUGUACAUUUGUGUGUCCUUGCAAUCGACAUACUACUGCUCCUAGUCCUAGCUCCUAGAUUUGUGGUUUCAUGCCUUACUAUAUUGGUAUAUGCGAACGGAAACCGUAUGUACUGUAAUAGGUACACUCGUACGGCAUGUUUUUUUUAGCAAAGGGGUUUCACUCGUACGGCAUGUAAAACCAGCUCGAUCGUAAUACUCCACGAAUGAAUAUCACCUGUAGUGGUAGUACACUACAUGAAUGA